GACGAACGCUGGCGGCGUGCCUAAUACAUGCAAGUCGAACGCACUCUCGUUUAGAUUGAAGGAGUUUGCUCCUGAUUGAUAAACAUUUGAGUGAGUGGCGGACGGGUGAGUAACACGUGGGUAACCUGCCCUAAAGUGGGGGAUAACAUUUGGAAACAGAUGCUAAUACCGCAUAAAACCUAACACCGCAUGGUGUAGGGUUGAAAGAUGGUUUCGGCUAUCACUUUAGGAUGGACCCGCGGUGCAUUAGUUAGUUGGUGAGGUAAAGGCUCACCAAGACCGUGAUGCAUAGCCGACCUGAGAGGGUAAUCGGCCACACUGGGACUGAGACACGGCCCAGACUCCUACGGGAGGCAGCAGAAGGGAAUCUUCCACAAUGGACGAAAGUCUGAUGGAGCAACGCCGCGUGAGUGAAGAAGGUUUUCGGAUCGUAAAACUCUGCUGUUGGAGAAGAAUGUAUCUGAUAGUAACUGAUCAGGUAGUGACGGUAUCCAACCAGAAAGCCACGGCUAACUACGUG
This 520-nucleotide ribosomal RNA is filed under the name uncultured bacterium. RNAcentral describes it as "partial 16S ribosomal RNA". It matches the Rfam family "Bacterial small subunit ribosomal RNA", at positions 28 to 507 of the family's 1533-position model. The record is from RNAcentral.